RNAcentral lists this ribosomal RNA (438 nucleotides) under uncultured bacterium. Its description in RNAcentral is "bacterial SSU rRNA". It matches the Rfam family "Bacterial small subunit ribosomal RNA", at positions 30 to 474 of the family's 1533-position model. The record is from RNAcentral.
AUUGAACGCUGGCGGCAUGCCUUACACAUGCAAGCCGAACGGUAACAGGUUAAGCUGACGAGUGGCGAACGGGUGAGUAAUGUAUCGGAACGUGCCCAGUCGUGGGGGGAUAACUACUCGAAAGAGUGGCUAAUACCGCAUACGACCUGAGGGUGAAAGCGGGGGACCGUAAGGCCUCGCGCGAUUGGAGCGGCCGAUAUCAGAUUAGCUAGUUGGUGGGGUAAAAGCCCACCAAGGCGACGAUCUGUAGCUGGUCUGAGAGGACGACCAGCCACACUGGGACUGAGACACGGCCCAGACUCCUACGGGAGGCAGCAGUGGGGAAUUUUGGACAAUGGACGCAAGUCUGAUCCAGCCAUGCCGCGUGCGGGAAGAAGGGCCUUCGGGUUGUAACCGACUUUGUCAGGGAAGAAACGGGUUACGUCUAAUACAGAGACC